This 253-nucleotide ribosomal RNA is filed under the name uncultured bacterium. RNAcentral describes it as "partial 16S ribosomal RNA". It matches the Rfam family "Bacterial small subunit ribosomal RNA", at positions 524 to 776 of the family's 1533-position model. The record is from RNAcentral.
UACGUAGGGUGCGAGCGUUGCCCGGAUUUAUUGGGCGUAAAGGGCGCGUAGGCGGCUCUGCACGUCCGUUGUGAAAUCGCCCGGCUCAACUGGGCGGGGUCAGCGGAUACGGCGGAGCUUGAGCAAGCUAGGGGGCAAUGGAAUUCCCGGUGUAGUGGUGGAAUGCGUAGAUAUCGGGAGGAACACCAGUGGCGAAGGCGAGUCCCUGGACACUUCCUGACACUGAGGCACGAAAGCUAGGGGAGCAAACAGG